GUGGGGAAUAUUGGACAAUGGGCGAAAGCCUGAUCCAGCCAUGCCGCGUGUGUGAAGAAGGUCUUCGGAUUGUAAAGCACUUUAAGUUGGGAGGAAGGGCAGUAAGUUAAUACCUUGCUGUUUUGACGUUACCAACAGAAUAAGCACCGGCUAACUUCGUGCCAGCAGCCGCGGUAAUACGAAGGGUGCAAGCGUUAAUCGGAAUUACUGGGCGUAAAGCGCGCGUAGGUGGUUCGUUAAGUUGGAUGUGAAAGCCCCGGGCUCAACCUGGGAACUGCAUCCAAAACUGGCGAGCUAGAGUAUGGCAGAGGGUGGUGGAAUUUCCUGUGUAGCGGUGAAAUGCGUAGAUAUAGGAAGGAACACCAGUGGCGAAGGCGACCACCUGGGCUAAUACUGACACUGAGGUGCGAAAGCGUGGGGAGCAA
This 425-nucleotide ribosomal RNA is filed under the name uncultured Pseudomonas sp. RNAcentral's name for it is "bacterial SSU rRNA". It matches the Rfam family "Bacterial small subunit ribosomal RNA", at positions 354 to 771 of the family's 1533-position model. Lineage: Bacteria; Pseudomonadati; Pseudomonadota; Gammaproteobacteria; Pseudomonadales; Pseudomonadaceae. The record is from RNAcentral.